This 334-nucleotide ribosomal RNA is filed under the name uncultured bacterium. RNAcentral describes it as "bacterial SSU rRNA". It matches the Rfam family "Bacterial small subunit ribosomal RNA", at positions 568 to 898 of the family's 1533-position model. The record is from RNAcentral.
CGUGUAGGCGGUUUGUUAAGUCUGGCGUGAAAGCUCUCGGCUAAACCGGGAGAGGUCGUUGGAUACUGGCAAACUUGAGGAUGGUAGAGGCGUGUGGAAUUCCGGGUGUAGUGGUGAAAUGCGUAGAGAUCCGGAGGAACACCAGUGGCGAAGGCGACACGCUGGGCCAUACCUGACGCUAAAGCGCGACAGCAUGGGGAGCAAACGGGAUUAGAAACCCCGGUAGUCCAUGCCGUAAACGAUGCCAGCUAGGUGUUCAGGGGGCGCAAGCUCUCGGGGUACCGAAGCAAACGCGAUAAGCUGGCCGCCUGGGGAGUACGGUCGCAAGGCUAAA